Molecule: non-coding RNA, 785 nt
Organism: Sesamum indicum (sesame)
Lineage: Eukaryota; Viridiplantae; Streptophyta; Magnoliopsida; Lamiales; Pedaliaceae
Source: RefSeq, a predicted model, not a curated record
UUUUCACGGCCUUUCUCUUCAACUCUCUUCUUUUUUCUUUCUUCCCCUUUACUAUUCAGCACCGCCUGGGCCACCCUCCUUCCUCUACUCUUUUUCUUUUUCUUCUCUUCCCUUUUCUUUUUUCUUUCUCUUCUCCUCUUUUCAGUUUGUUUCUUCCGCAACCGUUGACCAACCACUUGCGUCGACCAUUCGCCGCCUCAGUCAGCUUCCUUCCUCUUCUCUUUUUCUUUUUCUUCUCUUCUCUUUUUCUUUUUCUUCUCUUCUCCUCUUCUUCUCUUCUCUCUUUCUUUCCGUCGCCGCUGUCUCUCUGCCGCCCCAGACUGAUAAAGUUGUGGCCUACCAUCUUGGAUGAUUUUCAAAAGGGCUGAUCCUAUUGGCCAUGUACAAUAAGAGCUGCAACAAUGAGGUUGGCGAUGUCAUGUGGAACAGUUCUAUUCAGUUCAUUCAAAUUCCACAUUCCAUCUUCUCAGAGCCAAUUGACAGGAAUAUUUAUGGAUCUUCAUGAUUACAAGGAUUUUGAAGUGAGCCGUCUGCAAGCUCAAGAAAAUGUGGCUUUGAGCAGCCUGAUGGACUUUACAAAGCCUUCUGCAAGUAGGGAUUCAGAAGAAGAUACUAGUGAAUCAGAGGAUAUUUUCGGUGAUAAUAAUUCGUCAUCCCAUUCCAACCAGUCACCUUCAGCAGAUUGUGAAAAUGAAUUUGAUCCCCUUUUGUAAUUAUGAAUACUUUAAAAUAUAUCAUAUUUAUUUUGUGGAUUGUAUUGAAUUUAUCUUUAUUUUUUGGAUUGU